GACGAACGCUGGCGGCGUGCUUAACACAUGCAAGUCGAACGGAAAGGCCCUGCUCUUGUGGGGUGCUCGAGUGGCGAACGGGUGAGUAACACGUGAGUAACCUGCCCUUGACUUUGGGAUAACUUUAGGAAACUGGGGCUAAUACCGGAUAGGAGCUCCUGCUGCAUGGUGGGGGUUGGAAAGUUUCGGCGGUUGGGGAUGGUCUCGCGGCUUAUCAGCUUGUUGGUGGGGUAGUGGCUUACCAAGGCUUUGACGGGUAGCCGGCCUGAGAGGGUGACCGGCCACAAUAGGACUGAGAUACGGCCCAGACUCCUACGGGAGGCAGCAGUGGGGAAUAUUGCACAAUGGGCGGAAGCCUGAUGCAGCAACGCCGCGUGCGGGAUGACGGCCUUCGGGUUGUAAACCGCUUUCGCCUGUGACGAAGCGUGAGUGACGGUAAUGGGUAAAGAAGCACCGGCUAACUACGUG
Molecule: ribosomal RNA, 468 nt
Filed under: uncultured bacterium
Lineage: Bacteria
Description: partial 16S ribosomal RNA
Rfam family: Bacterial small subunit ribosomal RNA
Source: RNAcentral